CCAUCUCCCCGGUAUUUGCAUACACAGUGUGUGGGGUGUAACAUCUCCCCUGUCACUCUCUCUAUAUAUCUCAUUGUACAGGAGACGUCUUCUACUUUGUAUCUGACACUCCACAAACAUCAAGAUGCUUUCUCACAGUUAUCUGCUGGCCGUCAUCUUCAUUUCUAUUCAGGGAUCCUGUGGACAGAUUGUGAUGACUCAGACUCCGGAUUCUAUCUCUGUGUCCCCGGGACAGACAGUCACCAUCACAUGUACAUCCAGUAUUAGUGUAAAUGGCUACCUAAACUGGUACCAACAGAAAUCCCAACAACCUCCAAAGCUACUUAUCUAUCAGGCCAGCACUCGACAAUCCGGGAUCCCAGACAGGUUCAGUGGUUCAGGAUCUACAACUGGAUAUAAAUUUACUAUUAAUGGGGUGACUGAAGAUGAUGAAGGACAUUAUUACUGUCAGCAGACAGGGUGGGAGCCUGUCACACAGUGA
Molecule: non-coding RNA, 481 nt
Organism: Nanorana parkeri
Lineage: Eukaryota; Metazoa; Chordata; Amphibia; Anura; Dicroglossidae
Source: the annotation of a RefSeq genome assembly